Molecule: long non-coding RNA, 479 nt
Organism: Acromyrmex echinatior (Panamanian leafcutter ant)
Lineage: Eukaryota; Metazoa; Arthropoda; Insecta; Hymenoptera; Formicidae
Source: RefSeq, a predicted model, not a curated record
UAUAAAUAUGUAAUAAAAUUAUUAUCCGCUUCAUCGCGCAUCUUUGUUGUCUAUGAUAACGAAGUGUGUCGCUACUUCCGAUUAAUUUGAAGUGCGCGACUAACUUCAAGCGAGACGCCAGUUUCGAGAAAUUUCUAACGAUUCGCGCCGUACGAAAUGUUUCUCCCGCGUCGCGAUCGCGAAUAUUAUCGACAAUCACGAAAGAGAGGACGAAAUCUAUACGGAAAUCGAAUUGGUUUCCGAGAUCUUCGUUUGUCAUGCAACUGUUAAUAGACUGACUACAAGGCACUAACAAUCCGGGAAUUUCGGCAGUAAUCGAUCUCCUUCAGCAUAAUAGAAUCUCUGACAAUAAUUAAGGCUGCCUUCAACAGAACUUUAAUCGAAAGCGAUGCGCAAGCACAAAUGCCGGAGUGGUAUCAUGGUCACGACCCACGUGACCGUUUUAAAGGAUCGCCAGCAGCCACCAUCAAUCAAAUCGA